This is a long non-coding RNA of Armigeres subalbatus, 334 nucleotides long. RefSeq lists it as uncharacterized. NCBI's taxonomy places the organism in Eukaryota, Metazoa, Arthropoda, Insecta, Diptera, Culicidae. The transcript is spliced from 3 exons. The record is from RefSeq and is a predicted model, not a curated record.
GGAAGAGGCAGGAGUGAUCGGAUUUUUAAGUGUCGCGCCGUGAUGUGUGUUUAAAGUUGAGUUAGCUAAAUACGAGUGCUAAGUUGUUCCGUGUAGCUACUAGUUUUGUGCGUGUGUAUAAAUUGUGCAGGUUUGUGGCAUUCUGCGAAACCCCACACAUCGCACCCCAAAGCCAACGAUCGCUUCUGACCCCACCGUCAGCUACGAGGGUUUUCCCGGAAGUACGUCGACCGGAAGAGGGCUUGCGUACGUUUCAUCGCGCCCUAGGCAGAGGUUGCAGUCAUCCGAGUUCAUCGUCAAAUUGCGCCAACUGUCGGUAGUUCAUCAACGCCGC